GCGGGGCGGAGCUUACACAUGCAAGUCGAACGAUGAACCACUUCGGUGGGGAUUAGUGGCGAACGGGUGAGUAACACGUGGGCAAUCUGCCCUUCACUCUGGGACAAGCCCUGGAAACGGGGUCUAAUACCGGAUACCACUACCGCAGGCAUCUGUGGUGGUUGAAAGCUCCGGCGGUGAAGGAUGAGCCCGCGGCCUAUCAGCUUGUUGGUGAGGUAAUGGCUCACCAAGGCGACGACGGGUAGCCGGCCUGAGAGGGCGACCGGCCACACUGGGACUGAGACACGGCCCAGACUCCUACGGGAGGCAGCAGUGGGGAAUAUUGCACAAUGGGCGAAAGCCUGAUGCAGCGACGCCGCGUGAGGGAUGACGGCCUUCGGGUUGUAAACCUCUUUCAGCAGGGAAGAAGCGAAAGUGACGGUACCUGCAGAAGAAGCGCCGGCUAACUACGUGCCAGCAGCCGCGGUAAUACGUAGGGCGCAAGCGUUGUCCGGAAUUAUUGGGCGUAAAGAGCUCGUAGGCGGCUUGUCACGUCGGGUGUGAAAGCCCGGGGCUUAACCCCGGGUCUGCAUUCGAUACGGGCUAGCUAGAGUGUGGUAGGGGAGAUCGGAAUUCCUGGUGUAGCGGUGAAAUGCGCAGAUAUCAGGAGGAACACCGGUGGCGAAGGCGGAUCUCUGGGCCAUUACUGACGCUGAGGAGCGAAAGCGUGGGGAGCGAACAGGAUUAGAUACCCUGGUAGUCCACGCCGUAAACGGUGGGAAUCAUUGGGUGUUGGCGACAUUCCAAGUCGUCGGUGCCGCAGGUAACGCAUUAAGUUCCCCUCCUGGGGAGUACGGCCGCAAGGCUAAAUCUCAAAGGAAUUGACGGGGGCCCGCACAAGCAGCGGAGCAUGUGGCUUAAUUUGACGCAACGCGAAGAACCUUACCAAGGCUUGACAUACACCGGAAAGCAUUAGAGAUAGUUCCCCCAUGGUGGUCGGUGUACAGGUGGUGCAUGGCUGUCGUCAGCUCGUGUCGUGAGAUGUUGGGUUAAGUCCCGCAUCGAGCGCAACCCCCGUUGCGGGUUGCCAGCAUGCCCUUCGGGGUGAUGGGGACUCACAGGAGACCGCCGGGGUCAACUCGGAGGAAGGUGGGGACGACGUCAAGUCAUCAUGCCCCUUAUUUCUUGGGCUGCACACGUGCUACAAUGGCAGGUACAAUGAGGUGCGAUACCGUGAGGUGGAGCGAAUCUCAAAAAGCCUGUCUCAGUUCGGAUGGGGUCUGCAACUCGACCCCAUGAAGUCGGAGUCCAUCGUAAUACCAGAUCAGCAUUGGUGCGGUGAAUACGUUCCCGGGCCUUGUACACGCCGCCCGUCAGUCACGAAAGUCGGUAACACCGGAACCCGGUGGCCCAACCCCUUGGGGAGCGAGCAUCGAAGGUGGGACUGGCGAUGGGACGAAGUCGACGCAAUACAUCCCCC
This 1459-nucleotide ribosomal RNA is filed under the name Streptomyces sp. RNAcentral's name for it is "bacterial SSU rRNA". It matches the Rfam family "Bacterial small subunit ribosomal RNA". The record is from RNAcentral. Lineage: Bacteria; Bacillati; Actinomycetota; Actinomycetes; Kitasatosporales; Streptomycetaceae.